This 486-nucleotide unclassified non-coding RNA is filed under the name soil metagenome. RNAcentral describes it as "partial internal transcribed spacer 1". The record is from RNAcentral.
UCGUACCGUACUUGUGACGGAACACACACACACAUUAACUUGUGCGUCGAAUGAAGUGUCGCUAGUCUGCAUGAUACUAUCUCGGUGUCGGCAGACGACCGAACAGAACAGGCAUACACCAAACGGUGUCAAGUCAAGCGAUCGACCGACCGAGUGUUGUGCUUUCAUAGCGCUAACUCGGUGAGCGACCGACAGAUUGCUACUUAAACGGCUUCUCACCGGUGCCUGUUCAGUUCAACCGGCUAUGUCAGGUGUCUAGUCCACGCUGCCUAGUAUUAGCACUUGCGUUCCGACGCAAGUCAGGCUGUGGAGUGACAAGUUUGUCGGGUGUUCGCAUCCGUCACUUGCCGCCAGACUUAAUUAUUGUUGCUUGCAGACAAUGCCGACUUAGCACGGGUAAACCAUGCACAUACAUUAACUUGUUCUCAACAACACUUAUGUGCCGUCAAUGACAAUUGACAAUACAAACAAAUGUUUAAUGCAGUA